CCCCACCCCCCCAACCUUGCUAACUCUCUUUCCAUAUACCUCUUUUUUUAAAAUAAUUUUUAUUUAUUUAUUUAUUUAUUUUUUAUAAACCUAUGUCAUUCUUGAAAUCUACCGCUGUAAGCCUGAAUUAACGUUCACCUCACAAUCCCUCGUUCAUAUUCUCACAACCGAAUUCAUACUUCUUUACUAGUGUGAUGGCCUGUGCCCCUGGACACACUCGCGUCACGCGAGUGUAAACUCUGUGAACACCUGCUCAACACGUGCACAGGAUUGUAUACCGAUAAAAACGCCGGUGGUAAAUUCACCCGUUUCAAACUAAUUCAAAUCCACUCCCCAUUUCAGGCACUCUGAUGUACGUUUUAAGCAAUAACAGUGUACAACUUUCUCAUUAUUAUUAUUAUUAUUGUUUAAAACAUGAAGCAGGCGUGCGCAAUACAAUGUUAAAAUGUCUGCGUGGUUUUACACGGCUGUAAUAUUCCGUGACGCUAACGACUGUUAUUAAUCGUUAUGCCACGGAAUGGUUGAAUUCUUCUCAUAUUUGGUUGGACAGAAGGUACGCAUGAUUUAUUUUUUUUUUAUUACCACAAGUACAGGUUCGUAUUAAUGCGCUCGUUCUAAUACGUUAGUGUUUCUAUAGCGACAGCUCGUGCACGGGGAUCGUAUAGUGGACACGCCACAUAAUCAAAGAUGAAUAAUAAAUGAAUUUGAUAAAAUGUGUGAUAGUUUAACAACGAAAUUCAUCUAAUGAGUCAGCACAUGGGCAACAAUAAUCCGAUAUGAACCCGAUUAAGACGAUACUCUGAUUAAGAAACUAGCAUGUAAACGGUGAUUAUUGAUGACCUUAAUCCGACUAAAGUCACACUCGAAGUAAACACAAAUGGAAUUAAGACGUGUGGAGUAUUCCUGUUUUAGUCGUGUUAUCGAAGUGCGUUACAGACACGUACACACCUUAAUCACACUGUUAACAUCGUGUAGAGUUUUCACCACAUUGUGCGACAGGACACGAUCACACAUGGCAGCGCUCAACCGUUUGACGGCAAGAGAGCACGGCUGCGUCCCAAACCGCGUACUUACCUACUAUAUAGUAGGUAAGUACACGUGUCUCGGCUACUAUAUAGCAGGUAAGUACACGUAUCUCGGCUACUAUAUAGUAGGUAAGUACACGUAUCUCGGCUACUAUAUAGUAGGUAAGUACACGUAUCUCGGCUACUAUAUAGUAGGUAAGUACACGUAUCUCGGCUACUAUAUAGUAGGUAAGUACACGUAUCUCGGCUACUAUAUAGUAGGUAAGUACACGUGUCUCGGCUACUAUAUAGCAGGUAAGUACACGUAUCUCGGCUACUAUAUAGUAGGUAAGUACACGUAUCUCGGCUACUAUAUAGUAGGUAAGUACACGUAUCUCGG
Ictalurus punctatus (channel catfish) is the source of this 1404-nucleotide long non-coding RNA. Lineage: Eukaryota; Metazoa; Chordata; Actinopteri; Siluriformes; Ictaluridae. The record is from Ensembl.